RNAcentral lists this ribosomal RNA (355 nucleotides) under uncultured Pseudomonas sp. Its description in RNAcentral is "bacterial SSU rRNA". It matches the Rfam family "Bacterial small subunit ribosomal RNA", at positions 1029 to 1382 of the family's 1533-position model. Lineage: Bacteria; Pseudomonadati; Pseudomonadota; Gammaproteobacteria; Pseudomonadales; Pseudomonadaceae. The record is from RNAcentral.
CUGACACAGGUGCUGCAUGGCUGUCGUCAGCCCGUGUCGUGAGAUGUUGGGUUAAGGUCCGUAACGAGCGCAACCCCUGUCCUUAGUUACCAGCACGUUAUGGUGGGCGACUCUAAGGAGACUGCCGGUGACAAACCGGAGGAAGGUGGGGAUGACGUCAAGUCAUCAUGGCCCUUACGGCCUGGGCUACACACGUGCUACAAUGGUCGGUACAAAGGGUUGCCAAGCCGCGAGGUGGAGCUAAUCCCAUAAAGCCGAUCGUAGUCCGGAUCGCAGUCUGCAACUCGACUGCGUGAAGUCGGAAUCGCUAGUAAUCGUGAAUCAGAAUGUCACGGUGAAUACGUUCCCGGGCCUU